This 1285-nucleotide long non-coding RNA is filed under the name Oncorhynchus kisutch (coho salmon). RNAcentral describes it as "lncRNA (ENSOKIG00005032616.1)". The record is from RNAcentral. Lineage: Eukaryota; Metazoa; Chordata; Actinopteri; Salmoniformes; Salmonidae.
AAUUUCAUAUUCACAAAUGUACAUUUACAAACAGAAAACCACAUUUUCGUACCCUACAAAAAUAAAUUGAACUGUAUUUUAAGACGGUUAAAUGCUCUACUAACAAAAAAGCUGUUCGAAUUGUAAGUAUAUGUAUGUCCCUUAAGGUCCUUGUGUAAUUGUAAUGUGAUAUUGUACCCCCUAGCUCGAUUGUCCAUUGUUUGUAAUCUAUGUAUGCUUGUGUUCCCUUAUGUGCUUUAUGUAUUGUUUUGUUGUUAAUUUUAAAAAAAAGAUACGAACCCUCUGUUACCUGCCAGAUAAGGAACUGGCAGUGGAUCAAACCAUUGUGAGGCAAAGGGCGGGGGGUCGCAAUCUUUUGAAAUCUUUUAAUCUUUUAAAAACACGCUAUUAAGUGUCUAUAAUCAGCGCAAGUGCUUUCAUUGCGUAUUAUUAAUAUUAUUUAAAUUACAUAGUUAUGUUUACAGUGAUAUAUUGGGGGAGACAAAUCAUAUUUUUCCCAGGAUGGGGGGGUCGUGUCCCCCCCCCCACCGCCCCUGGGAUUUCCGCCUAUGCCUGAAGAGUCAUCCCAGCUCAGGCACGCUGGAACAUACCCAAUGGCUCCAGAGAGGUACAGCCCGCGGUGGCAGUAAGGAUAAGCAAGUGGGGAUUCGGAGGAGUACUCUGAUAUGAGCUACAUCAUGGAUCCAUUGUCCAGAGACUGUAGCAAAGGCUCAUUGAAGGGUAGCAGUGCUCCCUUCUCCCCAGACACAGAUGGGGACGUUGACCCUGUGCAGCCCAGUGUGGACCUGGAACUCGCUCGUAAGGAGGUCAUAGAGGAGUAGUUCGCUAGCAAGGAAGCUGUUCUUGCUACACGAGAGCUUGAACACGGAGCUAAGGACAUGCCUAAAAAACAGACUGCAUCCACAACAGUGAAGGGCAUGUCUAAACAGACCAAAUAUGGACAAUACAAUAUUCAAAACAUACAACAAUGUCGCCGACAGGUCGUCACGCGUAUGCCUACCUCUUAAACGGAGGGUGCUGGACAUUCUAAGUAAGUUCAGAAGAACACCGGUACGGUACCUACUGCAUAAGGAUACCCCUGCCGAGCUGAAGAAUCAAAACAAGAUGCGAGCAUUGGAUCUGAUGAUUAGAGCUCCCCUAGAAAAUGAAGAGGGUUUUAAUGAACCAGCGACGCUAUCCCGACAAUGAGGUAUGUAGCCAUAACAAAACAUAGAGGUCGGCAAAAGUAUCAUAAGAAGGAAGUCAAGAAAACCAUGGCCCCCCGAUUUAUACAAUCGAUUUCUGC